UUAAUGGAGAGUUUGAUCCUGGCUCAGGACGAACGCUGGCGGCGUGCUUAACACAUGCAAGUCGAACGGAACCUUCGGGUUUAGUGGCGAACGGGUGAGUAAAGCGCAGGUAAUCUGCCGCAAA
Molecule: ribosomal RNA, 124 nt
Filed under: Quinella sp. 1Q5
Lineage: Bacteria; Bacillati; Bacillota; Negativicutes; Veillonellales; Veillonellaceae
Description: partial 16S ribosomal RNA
Rfam family: Bacterial small subunit ribosomal RNA
Source: RNAcentral